CUGUGUGUGUGUGUGUGUGUGUGGUGGGGGGGGGGCAAUGGGACCUAAAAGCAAGAGGACGGACGUUCCCCUUUUUACGACAACUCAACCUAUAUUGGUUUUUGUAUUGAAGUUGCCAAUAUUUUGUGCUAGUGUCUUAAAUGUGACCCUUUAAAAAUAAUCAUGCUUCAACAUAUAGGGAUUCUGUUCCCCCCGCAAUAUUUUUUUAUUUUGUUUUCAAAAUGAAUAACACAAAACUGAGUCGCCAGUUUAUUAAGAACACCCAUAAUGCCGUCCCAUACAGCAGACCUGCUAAUAAUCAUAAAUGGAAAACAGCAGGAACAAAACCUCGUGAAGGGGGGCUUUACUGCAGGACCGUUGUAUUGGACUGCAUUAGUUUGAUUUACGUCUAAUAAACUGGUAACUCAGCGUAAAUACCAAAGCAACACUUCUCCUUUAAAGAGAAGCAUAGCAACACUUAAAUGCCCAUGUGUUGCCCUCCAGUGAUUUAACGUCUCACCUUGAUGCAGUGACUUACAGGUGUUCUCCGGGACCUCGUGGCAUCACUGUUGGGUGUUGUUACAGUGACUGUUUCUUGGAGUUGAAGACACAUUGACGAAGGAUUGUGCAAAAGAUCUCCAGCCUGAGAAGUGGGACACAUGAGCGUUAAGUAAAUCCCACCCAUCGUCCUCACUAUAUUAUUAUAAAUAUUAUUAUAACGUUUUAUUUAUUACCUUAAGUUCCUUGUUUUGCCCUGACCUGGAUGUGUAUGUGAUUGGGUUCAGAACCGUCUCACCACAUUUCCAGAGCAAAGAAAUGACAUUACAGUAAAUAUUGAAUAUUGUAAGUAAGUAGAGUCUGAAUACAAAUCUGUAUAUUUUAGGAAUAAGUUGUAUUUCAGGAUGCAGAUCAACUGUUUAACCUGUUCCUUUUUGGAUUAACAGAGUCUAUUUUAAUUAUGCAACCUCCUGAGGAGCUUGUUUUUAAAGAUGUGAGAAGUGUUCGGGUGGUAUCCAUUUGGUCGGUCUUCACAUUUUACUCAAAGCUGAUUGAAGGUCGCUGAAGUUUUUGCACAGUAAUAUAAAAUUUGCAGAUGAAAUACAAAAAAAAAAGUCUAAUAUCUAUUAUUGUCACUGUCACCGAGAAUCAAUAAUUAUUCUUUACUGUCACACUUCAUUCCACCUUUCAGUUAAAUGUUUUUUUCCUACUGUACUUGAUAAUGAAGUCGAAGCACUUUGUGAUUGUAACCAGUAAAUAUGAUUUUGUUUUACCUCAAGGGAAAAUAUUUGAUAAACAACGAUAGAAAGCGACAGCGCAGUACAUCUAUAACACGCUUAUUUUAUUGCGGGAGAGAUGCAACGCUGCUAAUCUUUGUGUACACUGUUAUGUUUGCGCUCUUUUUAUAUUGUUAUUCAUCUGUUCCUGUUCGCUUCUAGGAAGCUACAGUUCUAUCGUAUUAUUUGGGUUCAGUUUGAUUGCUGUGAAACAGACAAAUGUUAUUUUUUAUUAUUUAUGGUCAAAGUAAAAAAAACAAAAAAACUGUUAAAUGCUUUUACAGUGUGCCCCUUUUAUUUUAUAUAAGCAUCUGGAACUCUUUUCACAGAUUUGUACCGUGACAUAAGCAGGGGAAGUGAAAGGUAAUCUAUUAAAUUGCCUCAAAAUGUCACUGAAGAGCAACAGCUGGAAGGUGUCAGCAGGAAGCUGUGGUGGAAGAAGUAGAACCAGUAACACCACAGUGUAGAACAACUCUGAUCCCAGAUCAAAAAAGCAAUUUUGAUAGAAGACGAGAUAGAAAACAAAAGUUUACAGCUCCCAUUAUUGUAAAUAUUCACAUUUGAUUAGAACGCCGAUUGUUCUAAACAUUGAACCUUUCGCUCAGAACUAAAUAUUUAAAAUUGGAUUAUUGUAUGAGAACAGAGUGUCUACUAUAUUAUAUAUAUAUAUAAGUAUAUAUAUAUAUAAGUAUAUGAUAUGAUAUGAUUUAUUCCUUUAUUCGUCUCACAGUGGGGAAAUGAAAAAAAUUACAUUCCAAGAGUUACAUCCAGAGUCAGAGGUCAUCACUGUAUCUAGAAAGUUAGUUGUUAUUUACCAGAACAUGCUGGUUCUGCUUAUUGAUAUAUUUUGCAACAUAUAUCGGUGGUUUCCACACAAUAAAUCAUAAUCACUUAAUUGAU
This is a long non-coding RNA of Pseudoliparis swirei, 2153 nucleotides long. RefSeq lists it as uncharacterized. Lineage: Eukaryota; Metazoa; Chordata; Actinopteri; Perciformes; Liparidae. The record is from RefSeq and is a predicted model, not a curated record. The transcript has 2 exons.